Molecule: ribosomal RNA, 478 nt
Filed under: uncultured Planctomycetales bacterium
Lineage: Bacteria; Pseudomonadati; Planctomycetota; Planctomycetia; Planctomycetales
Description: bacterial SSU rRNA
Rfam family: Bacterial small subunit ribosomal RNA
Source: RNAcentral
UUUCGCAAUGCCCGAAAGGGUGACGAAGCGACGCCGCGUGUGGGAAGAAGGCCUUCGGGUUGUAAACCACUGUCGAGAGUUAAGAAAUACAAGGAUAUUAAUAGUGUCUUUGUUUGACUAAGGCUCCGGAGGAAGCCACGGCUAACUCUGUGCCAGCAGCCGCGGUAAUACAGAGGCGGCAAGCGUUGUUCGGAAUUAUUGGGCGUAAAGAGCACGUAGGCGGCUAUGUAAGUCGGUUGUGAAAGCCUUCCGCUCAACGGAAGAACAGCAUCCGAUACUACAUGGCUUGAGUGCGGGAGGGGAGAGUGGAACUUCUGGUGGAGCGGUGAAAUGCGUAGAUAUCAGAAGGAACGCCGGCGGCGAAAGCGGCUCUCUGGCCCAUAACUGACGCUGAGUGUGCGAAAGCUAGGGGAGCAAACGGGAUUAGAUACCCCGGUAGUCCUAGCCGUAAACGAUGGGCACUAAGUAGAGGGGUUUU